RNAcentral lists this transfer RNA (75 nucleotides) under Podarcis lilfordi (Lilford's wall lizard). RNAcentral describes it as "tRNA.Lys". The stretch from base 8 to 65 matches the Rfam family "tRNA", at positions 8 to 63 of the family's 71-position model. Rfam says of the family: Transfer RNA (tRNA) molecules are approximately 80 nucleotides in length. Their secondary structure includes four short double-helical elements and three loops (D, anti-codon, and T loops). The record is from RNAcentral. Lineage: Eukaryota; Metazoa; Chordata; Lepidosauria; Squamata; Lacertidae.
CUUGGGAUAGUUCAGUCAGUAGAGCAUGAGACUCUUAAUCUCAAGGUCGUGGGUUUGAGCCCCAUAUUGGCUAGA